This 502-nucleotide ribosomal RNA is filed under the name bacterium AWS2B. Its description in RNAcentral is "bacterial SSU rRNA". It matches the Rfam family "Bacterial small subunit ribosomal RNA", at positions 399 to 880 of the family's 1533-position model. The record is from RNAcentral.
GCGUGUUGAAGAAGGCCUUAUGGUUGUAAAGCUCUUUACUUAAGGAAGAACGCUCUUUUGGUUUAUACCCACGAUGAGUGGACGUUACUCGCAGAAAAAGCACCGGCUAACUCUGUGCCAGCAGCCGCGGUAAUACAGAGGGUGCAAGCGUUAAUGGGAUUUUCUGGGGGUAAAGCGCGGCGUGGGGUCUUUUUAAUUUAGAUGUGAAAGCUCCCCGGGCUUAACUUGGGAAUUCCAUUGGAAACUGGGAGAGUUGAGAGUAUGGGAGAGGCAGGGAGAAUCUCCAGGGGUAUCGGUGAAAUGUGGAUAGAGAUCGGGAGGAAUCCCGAUGGGGAAGGCGGCCUUCUGGUCCGAAUACUGACGCUGAGACUCACGAAACGCAUGGGGAGCAACCAGGAUUAGAUACCCGGGUAGUCCACUCCGGUAACAGGAUGUCCUAUAUGCUCGGUAGGUCUCGAGCCUUCAUGUCCGCAGCUAACGCUAUAAUAAUCCCCCCGGGGAG